UCACAAGUCCAUUGUGAGUUGAAGAACCUUGGCAAACCUUGGAGGAAGAAUAGUGGAAAUCAAUUAGAUGGAAUUUUCCAUGCGAAGUCUAAUCAUUGUGACAAAUCUGGGGCAUUCCUGUUGUUGCAAACUGAAGAAUAAGAGUCUGAAGAAACAUCCCAAACCAAACCAUGGCUUAUCCAUUCCCUCUCCAGAUGCUGCCUGACCCGCCGAUUCACACCAGCACUUUGUGUUUUGUGUCAAACUUUCAGUGCUGUGUAACUCCAUGACUCAAUAAGAAUGAAAGUAAAUGUAUUGGUUAAUGAG
This is a long non-coding RNA of Amblyraja radiata (thorny skate), 306 nucleotides long. RefSeq lists it as uncharacterized. The transcript has 2 exons. The record is from RefSeq and is a predicted model, not a curated record. Lineage: Eukaryota; Metazoa; Chordata; Chondrichthyes; Rajiformes; Rajidae.